UACGGAGGGGGCUAGCGUUGUUCGGAAUUACUGGGCGUAAAGCGCGCGUAGGCGGCUUUGUAAGUUAGAGGUGAAAGCCCGGAGCUCAACUCCGGAACUGCCUUUAAGACUGCAUCGCUAGAAUCAUGGAGAGGUGAGUGGAAUUCCGAGUGUAGAGGUGAAAUUCGUAGAUAUUCGGAAGAACACCAGUGGCGAAGGCGGCUCACUGGACAUGUAUUGACGCUGAGGUGCGAAAGCGUGGGGAGCAAACAGG
RNAcentral lists this ribosomal RNA (253 nucleotides) under uncultured bacterium. Its description in RNAcentral is "partial 16S ribosomal RNA". It matches the Rfam family "Bacterial small subunit ribosomal RNA", at positions 524 to 776 of the family's 1533-position model. The record is from RNAcentral.